GGAAAGUCUCUUUCUUACAGAACCAGGAAUUCGGGAAGGAGCUGAAGACCAGGAGCAUGGAGACCAUGGAGGACUUGGACGAGGGAAACAUGCUGGGGAGAUAACAGGAGAUGGAAAACAAUCCUGUGGCCAGUGACUAUAUACACCCCAAGGCCAGGAGAUGGAAAAUGAGGUGUUCAGCUUUGAAUUUAAGCUGACACUUGAGAAGACUUUGCCUUGGAUGACUGAUUAGAAGUGACACAUUGACAGCAUGAGCUUUUGAAUCCAGUGAAGACUAUCCUGAGCAACAUGAUCCCCAGUGGAUUUCAGACUUGGCUUUUUUGGUCAACAUGCUGCAUUAUCUGAAUCGACUGAAUGUGGAUCUGCAAAGGAAUUUAGGGAUGCUGCCUGACCUGGUGCAGCGUGUUUUCACAUUUGUCAACAAACUCAAGCUGAUCAAGACACAUCUACAAAAGAGAGACAAUUCACACAUUUUCCACCCUUGUUAAAGGCAAGUGGACAAGUAGCAGAGGUUGUAAAAGUGAGUACUGCAGGGUAUGCAACUCUGCUUGAAAACCUCAAGCCAAGAUUGAAGAGGACAAAUUCUACGGAAAUAAAUUACAUUUCAGAUCAUCCCAUUCACUGCUGAAUUAGACUGUUUAAAAGCCUCUUUAGUGGAAGAUGAAUCAGCGUCUCGGCUUGAAAUUACUGAACUUUCAGAGGAUGACAGAUUUAAAAGUAUUCUGAGGGAUCGAACCAUGGAGUUUUAGAAGAUUGUGCCAAUUGAGAGAUAUACCAAUGUCAAACAGGCUGCACUUAAACAAUUGUCAAUGUUUGGGUUAAUUUACAUCUGUGAAUCAUUUAUUUUAUUAUUAUUAUUUUGACACUGAAACAGGUUAAAUCAAAGUAUUGCUCUGUUCUUACUGACACACAUGUAAAAUAGUUACUACGAGUAGUCACAACUGUAUACAAGC
This is a long non-coding RNA of Cyprinus carpio (common carp), 953 nucleotides long. RefSeq lists it as uncharacterized. The record is from RefSeq and is a predicted model, not a curated record. Lineage: Eukaryota; Metazoa; Chordata; Actinopteri; Cypriniformes; Cyprinidae.